UGAUGGCUGCCUCCCCGGGAAUACCUAGGCUCUUCUGGCUCUCACCCCGUGGUCUUCGGCCAUUGCCACCCUGUCUCUGAAGCGCCUGGCCACUGUCUUCUCCCAGGCCCAGGAGAGGGUUCCCAUAGGGUGAACCUCCGGCGGGGGACCCUCUCCCCGGAGCGCGCGCCAUGCCGCUGGGCCCUGCGUGAGGUGGCGGCGCCCGCGGGCCUCGCGGUGGCCCUGCUGACCUGAGGGGCGGCCACCACAGAGCGCUUCCAAGACUGCAGCCUCUCCCAGGGCCGGGGUGGGGUGUGGUGACGAAAAGGCAAAACGUCCCAGGUCAGCGCCGCCAGGGAGGCGUGGACUCCACCGAGGCGCUCAGAGCCGCGCGGCCGCCUCCGUGACCGGCCCGUGGGGGAUGCGGGCCGCAGAGGCGCCCCGUUACUGGAAAAAGCAGCCGAGGCGGGGCAGCUGCCUCAGCAAGGCUUCGGUUUGGGUUUCCUGUUUGCUUGGUGGCCUCAGAAACGCUAACGAUGGAAGAUAACCGCUGAGGGAGACGCGCGGGAAUCAUGGGAGACGCAGCCAUCUUUGCUCGUUUGAGUAGGUCAGGCUUACGCGAUGAGACUAACUGCAGAGCGACUCUUCCAGCUUCCUUUGGGACUACCUUGUUGACAGAAAGCUUUUGGAAGCCCUGUGGUGGGAGAAAAUCUCUGUUGUCCAUUUCAGCUGUGAAAUUGAAUGAAGGCUGCCAUGUCUUCAAGCUGUCUGCUUUCGCCAGUGACCAAGAGAUCCUGCAAGUCUGACAUGGACUGGCUCAGAGGGAAGGGACAUUAGAGCUUUCUUUUAAAAAAAAAAAUGAGUUUGUUUAUUUAUUUAAGAAGUGGAAACAGAGAUAGGGAGAGACAGAAAGAUCUUCUAUCCAUUGGUUCAGUCCCCAGAUGGCCACAACAGCCAAAGCUGGGCUGAUCAAAGCCAGGAGCCAUAAGCAUAAAGCAUGAUUUUUUUAAUUUAAAAGGUCAUGAGGAAUUAAAACAAAUGCGACUGUGGUAAGAAUUAAAUGAAUGUACACAAUACAAAAAGGGACACAUAACACCCUCACAGCACUGAGCAAAGGCAAACAAAUGAAGAAUUACAACUACAGAGGAAACAGUAGGACAGUUGGCAGACAAACCUAGGAAAGCUGUCAUUCAAGUAAUAAGAUUUUCAGUAGAAAACUGAACAGGUAGGAAAGUGAGCAUAAACAGAAAAAUAAAGAAUUUUCAAUGAUAAAAUGCUAUAAUAGU
This 1265-nucleotide long non-coding RNA is filed under the name Oryctolagus cuniculus (rabbit). RNAcentral's name for it is "lncRNA (ENSOCUG00000035581.1)". The record is from RNAcentral. Lineage: Eukaryota; Metazoa; Chordata; Mammalia; Lagomorpha; Leporidae.